GGGGGCAUGGCGAAAUGGCAGACGCUACGGACUUAAAAUCCGUUGACCUUAAAAGUCGUGAGGGUUCAAGUCCCUCUGCCCCCACCA
RNAcentral lists this transfer RNA (87 nucleotides) under Hormoscilla sp. SP12CHS1. RNAcentral's name for it is "tRNA-Leu". It matches the Rfam family "tRNA". Rfam says of the family: Transfer RNA (tRNA) molecules are approximately 80 nucleotides in length. Their secondary structure includes four short double-helical elements and three loops (D, anti-codon, and T loops). The record is from RNAcentral. RNAcentral also lists the same sequence under 1 other name. Lineage: Bacteria; Bacillati; Cyanobacteriota; Cyanophyceae; Gomontiellales; Gomontiellaceae.